GAGAUGGGAUCUCACUAUGUUGUCCAGGCUGGUCUGGAACUCCUGGCCUUAUGCAAUCCUCCUGCAUCAACCUCCCAAAGUGUUGGGAUUACAGGCAUGAGCCACUGCACCUGUCCCUAAACUUAGACUUUUAAGAGAUUAUUAUUACAGUGACCCUGAGGAUACCAAAAUGGCCUCAUCUGCCAAAAUGAGGGUGAUGAGAGUACCCUUCUGCAAGGGUUACUGUGAGGAUUAAAUGGUAAAGCAUGCCAAGGACUUGGCACAGGUUUUAUACUUAAACUUACUUCGACUGGGUUUGGGGACCUCUGCUGGGUAGGUCUCUCUAGGGGUGUGUGUUAAUGGCCCCUGGACCCUAGGGAGCUGCCCAUGGGCAUCCUCUGUCCUAUCUCCAGAUACAGCAUCAUGCAGGCCUGCUGGGCCUUGGAGCCCACCCACAGACCCACCUUCCAGCAGAUCUGCUCCUUCCUUCAGGAGCAGGCCCAAGAGGACAGGAGACAGCAGGACUAUACCAAUCUGCCGAGCAGCAGCAGAAGCGGUGGCAGCGGCAGCGGCAGCGGCAGCGGCAGCAGCAGUGAACUGGAGGAGGAGAGCGCUAGUGAGCACCUGACCUGCUGCGAGCAAGGGGAUAUCGCCCAGCCCUUGCUGCAGCCCAACAACUAUCAGUUCUGCUGAGGAGUUAACGACAGGGAGUACCACUCUCCCCUCCUCCAAACUUCAACUCCUCCAUGGAUGGGGCGACAUGGGGAGACCAUACAAACUCUGCCUUCGGUCAUUUCACUCAACAGCUCGGCCCAGCUCUGAAACUUGGGAAGGUGAGGGAUUCAGGGGAGGUCAGAGGAUCCCACUUCCUGAGUGUGGGCUAUCACUGCCAGUCAGGGGCUGGGGGCUGAGCCCUCACCCCC
RNAcentral lists this small RNA (902 nucleotides) under Pongo abelii (Sumatran orangutan). RNAcentral's name for it is "retained intron". Lineage: Eukaryota; Metazoa; Chordata; Mammalia; Primates; Hominidae. The record is from RNAcentral.